CCAGACUCCUACGGGAGGCAGCAGUGGGGAAUAUUGCACAAUGGGCGAAAGCCUGAUGCAGCAACGCCGCGUGAAGGAAGAAGGGUUUCGGCUCGUAAACUUCUAUCAACAGGGACGAAAGAAAUGACGGUACCUGAAUAAGAAGCCCCGGCUAACUACGUGCCAGCAGCCGCGGUAAUACGUAGGGGGCAAGCGUUAUCCGGAAUUACUGGGUGUAAAGGGUGAGUAGGCGGCAUGGUAAGCCAGAUGUGAAAGCCUUGGGCUUAACCCCGGGACUGCUCUUGGAACUGCGUGGCUGGAGUGCAGGAGGGGCAGGCGGAAUUCCUGGUGUAGCGGUGAAAUGCGUAGAUAUCAGGAGGAACACCGGUGGCGAAGGCGGCUUACUGGACUGUAACUGACGUUGAGGCUCGAAAGCGUGGGGAGCAAACAGGAUUAGAUACCCCCGUAA
This 448-nucleotide ribosomal RNA is filed under the name uncultured bacterium. Its description in RNAcentral is "partial 16S ribosomal RNA". It matches the Rfam family "Bacterial small subunit ribosomal RNA", at positions 331 to 793 of the family's 1533-position model. The record is from RNAcentral.